GGUCAGAGGGACAUGACACGCUGCUUCUGCUCUGAAGACAGAUGGGGCACUUGGGAAAGAAUGUGGGUGGCCUCUAGGGCUGAGUGUGGCCCAACCCAUGGCCAGAAAGGACACAGGACAUCAGACCUACAGCCUCCGGGAGGCAGAUUCUCCCACAGAUGAGAGCCCCGCUGGGGGACACCUGGCUUUUUGCCUGUAAAACCUGCACAGAGAACCCAGUCAAGCCUGGAUUCAGAUUUCUGGCCCACGGAGCUGUUGGUGGUCAGUGGGUGUUAUUGUAAGCUGCUAAGUGUGUGGUGACUUGCUAUGCAGCAGGAGACAGGAACCGGCCUCUGCUCUGGAUGAGGUUGGGGAGGCUGCUGAGAGAGGGGUCGGGUGAUUCUGUCUCUUCUGCCAGAACAUUUCCAUCCUGUGUUCAUCCACGCCAUCUACCAGAGCUCCUGGUCCCUGCCCAUGACAUAAAGACACCACAAUGAGCUGGAUGUGGGGGCCACCGGCUCCAGAGGCUAAGGGAGAGUGGACCUGUGCCGCUCUGUGCUCAACCAGUUCACCGAAGAGCCGGCAACCAGGACAGGUGUCCUCGUCCCGUCACGGAAGUGAGACCAUAGCGGGGACCUGCAACCCUGGCUGCACAGCAGUGGCACCCAGGACAGGGAGGAGCUGAGCCUCUGCCCGGGAAGACCACCCAAAGCCCCAAGCAUCCUUGGGCCUCAGUGCCCUGUGCGGCGUCCUCUGACCUUGGCAGCACCAGGAUUAGAAGAGGGGGCCCCACCUCCCUUCUCAGCUCCCUCCCUCCUGACCAAUUCCUCUUUCUCCAUUAACGUCUGCGGGUGAUGAAACGAGACCCCUCAGAGAAGUGCAUGAUGGAAGUAAGUCUCCUCCAGCCCAGCUCUUCAGGGCACCAGACCCACCUUCACAGAGCUAAGCAGGGUUGUCUGCUUCUGUGUCCAUUUUCAGAAAGAAUCUCUAUCCACCUCCGUGUGCUCAGGCAUAGAUAUGUGUGUGUAGCCCAUGUUCACAUGUGCCCAUGUGUGUGUGCAUGUUUGCAGGACAUCAUACAUUUCUCACAGAAGCAGGACCAUCCAUCUUGCUCUUUUUCAUUCGUUCUUUUUCAUUUAUCCUGGAGACCGUUGCAUGUCGGCUCAGACCACCCAGCCCUUCUUGUGGUCUGUCUGCUCAUUGUCAGUAUGUGGGUGCCGAGCUGUAGGUACCAGCCUCCCUCCUGGGAGAUGUCAGACCUGUGUAGUAAACACAGCUUCAUGGAAAGGGGCUUCUUGCACGCCUGUUCAGCACCAGGGGGGCCAGAGAGACUGGGAUCCAGUCCUCAGACCACAGUCCUUGUGUCCUGCCAGAGGUCACCCAGCAAGAUGGAGAUAUGAAGUAGGAACGCCCUUGUUGUAGUUCGGUCACUAAGUUAUGUCCGACUCUUUGCUACCUCAUGGACUGCAACACUCCAGGCUCCAGCAAUCUCCCAGAGUUUGCUCACGUUCAUGUCCAUUGAGUUGGUUCUUGUCACCCUGAAACAACCCUCUGCACCCUCUUCAGUCUCCACGACACCAGAAGGGACUUCAACCCCCUCCAGUCCACCCACCUGGCCACCCACCCCCAGCACAACAUAGCCAGCUCAGGUACCCACAUCUCAGAUUCCCAGAGAUGGACCCCCAGGUGUGUUUUUCAAAGCAGAAAUGGCUGCAGAGUCAGGAGAGGCCACUCUCGCCACUGGAC
This is a long non-coding RNA of Bos taurus (domestic cattle), 1725 nucleotides long. The record is from Ensembl. Lineage: Eukaryota; Metazoa; Chordata; Mammalia; Artiodactyla; Bovidae.